Heterocephalus glaber (naked mole-rat) is the source of this 789-nucleotide long non-coding RNA. RefSeq lists it as uncharacterized. The record is from RefSeq and is a predicted model, not a curated record. NCBI's taxonomy places the organism in Eukaryota, Metazoa, Chordata, Mammalia, Rodentia, Bathyergidae.
CAGGCACGGCAGGCAGGCCACUGGGUGGCAACAACUGACCCCUGCGAAGGAAAUAACAUUUCUGGAGCUCUCCUUGCACUGAGUCAACUCGGACCUGUUGAACUCCGGAAAAGGAAGACACAGACCAUUCCGAAUACGCUUGUUUACUCCACACCAACUACAGAGACUCUCGAAAUAAAUAUGAUUUUGCUGCUAUUCCAACCUAACUGUGCGUAUUUGUGGAUGUUUUGCUAAUCAGCUCUCCAGCAACCUCACAGACUGGCUUCCAACCCUGUGCGCGCGUUCCCAUGGAGACAGAAGAGGAAGGAUCAGCAGCAGCCAGUGAAAGUCUGAUCCACACAGGGCGUGUGCUGAUUCUCACUGCUGAUGCCUCCACAGAGGCUGCACUCCUUCCUGGAGAUCCCCCACCAAAGCCAGGAGAGUGCUGGGCUAUAAGGCAUGGCUGUCUUCAUCGGAGUCAGGACAGUGACAAGGGAUGGCUCUGCCUGCAGAGCCCAGUUCCCUGUGUUUUGCCAUUCAAGCAAUGGAGAAGAGCAGCCAAGGAGGAGUUCAGCAUGGAGAUGUUCACUAAUACAGCUGAGAAGAUGAAGAAUUCCUGCAAUACGCAGUUAUGAAAUGCACAGAAUGGUAACUGUGGUCCCCAAAACUGCAUCGUACACUGCAAAUUUGCUAACAGAGGAGCUCGUAGGUGUUCUCCCCACACACAAGCAAACAACAGUAACUGGGUGAGGUAUAAUUAACUUGAUGGAGGUAAUCAUGAGGUCGUCACAAAAUAUGGUGUGAUGAAAU